Molecule: long non-coding RNA, 2630 nt
Organism: Symphalangus syndactylus (siamang)
Lineage: Eukaryota; Metazoa; Chordata; Mammalia; Primates; Hylobatidae
Source: RefSeq, a predicted model, not a curated record
GCCACAGGGCUCCGCCCCCUCCCGCCUGCAGCGAGCCCGCGCGCUCGCUUCCCCUCCCCCUCCCCUGCGAUCCCCCGCGCAUCCUCUCCCUACCCUGCGCGCAACGCCGCCGCCCGCCGCCAGCGCGCUCGCUCCCCCGCCGCCCCCCGCCCCCGCCCCCCCCAGUCCGCGAGCUGCCAGCGCGCGCCCGCCGGUCCCGGAAGUCCCCUUCUCCACGCCGCCCUCCUCCUCCCUCUCCGGCACCUGCGCCGCCGGCCCCUGGGUCACAUGCGCAGUCUGUAGCCACCACUGCGGCGCCUGAGACCCGCGAACCCAGCCUGCUCGCCCCCAGACUCCUUUCCCAGGGCUGGCCGGCAACCUGAGCGAACAGACCCCGUGGCCUUAACUCGGUGUGCCAGCGAGUCCUUGCUCUGCUAACUUGUGAAGUUCAAGUUGCCUCUAGUCCUAGCGGCCCUACAGUGGCCCUCCUUAGGAUAAUACACCCUAUGGUACUGACCAGAACAAAUUCACAGUAACUUUAAGAAACGACAGGGGAACCAACCCCCCAGAGGUGGACGAAAUCCCCAAGCCUGAGAAAUGAGAAAGGGUGUGAUUACUGUGGUUACUACUAAUUCAGCAAUAAAACCGCAAACAGACAACAACCACAGAACCAUACCAUUAAAUUCCAGGGCCUGGCACACUCUAGUGCCACUUGCGAGUCAUUCAGGUCACUCCUGUGUAAAACAUGCUGAGAAACUCACACUAAAGCAAAGUGGGUAAUUUUAAUAGGUAAGUAUUCCACCACCGAAUUGAAAACCUUCGUCCAACGUGGAGAAAGAAAAAAGCUGGAGGCAACAUGCUACCUGACUUCAAACUAUACUGCAGGGCUACAGUAACCAAAACAGCAUGCUACUGCUACAAGAACAGAUCCAUAGGCCAACAGAACAGAAUAGAGAAUCCAGAAAUAAGACCACACACCUAUGAUCAUUUGAUCUUUGACAAACCUGACAAAAACAAGCAAUGGGGGAAAGGAUUCCCUAUUUAAUAAAUGUUGCUGGGAGAACUGGCUGGAAUAUGCAGAAAAUUAAAACUGGACCCCUUCCUUACACCAUACACAAAAAUCAACUCAAGAUGGAUUAAAGACUGAGAUGUAAAACCCAAGACUAUGAAAACCCUAGAAGAAAACCUAGGCAAUACCAUUCAGGACAUAGGCAUGGUAAAGAUUUCAUGACGAAGACACCAAAAGCAAUUGCAACAAAAACAAAAAUUGACAAAUGGGAUCUAAUUAAACUAAAGAGCUCUGCACACAAAAGAAACUAUCAACAGAGUAAACAGACAACCUGCAGAAUGGGAAAAAAUUUUUGCAAUCCAUGCAUCUGACAAGGUCCAAUAUCCAACACCUAUAAACAAAUUUACAAGAAAUAAACAAUCCCAUUAAAAAGUAGGCAAAGAACAUGCCCAGACACUUCUCAAAACAAAUCAUACAUGCAGCCAACAAGCAUAUGAAAAAAACUCAAUAUCACUGAUCCUUAGAGAAAUGCAAAUCAAAACCACAAUGAGAUAGCAUCCCACAUCAGUCAGAAUGGCUAUUAUUAAAAUGUCAAAAAAAAAACAACAGAUGCUGGCAAGGUUGUGGAGAAAAAGGAACACUUUUACACUAUUGGUGGGAGUGUAAAUUAGUUCAACCAUUGUGGAAGAUAGUGUGGUGAUUCCCCAGAAACCUAGAGGCAGAAAUACUAUUCAAGCCCACAAUCCCAUUACUGGGUAUAUAUUCAAAGGAAUAUAAAUUGUUCUAUUAUUAAUAAAAAGACAUAUGCACGUGUAUGUUCAUUGCAGCACUAUUCACAAUAGCAAAGACAUGGAAUCAACCUAACUGUCCAUCAAUGAUAGACUGGAUAAAGAAAAUGUGGUACAUAUACACCGUGGAAUACUAUGAAGCCAUAAAAAGGAACAAGAUCAUGUCCUUUGCAGGGACAUGGAUGGAGCUGGAGGCCAUUAUCCUUAGUAAACUAACACAGGGACAGAAAACCAAAUACUGCAUGUUCUCACUUAUAAGUGGGAGCUAAAUGAUGAGAACACAUACACACAUGGAGGGGGAAGAACAAACACUGGAGCCUGUUGGAGGUUGGAGGAUGGGAGGAGGGAGACAAUCAGGAAGAAGAGCUAAUGGAUACUGGGCUUAAUACCUGGGUGAUGGGAUGAUCUGUGCAGCAAACCAUCAUCUAAAGUUGAUGACUGUAGUGAACAAAACAAUAAGCCUUCCAAAAAUGUCUAUCUCUUAAUCCCUGAACCUGCAAAUGCUACCUUACAUAGCAAAAUGCACUUUACAAAUGUGACUAAAUCAAGGAUCCUGAGAUGGAGAGAUUAUCCUGGAUUAUCCACGCAGGUCCAAUGUAAUCAUAAGGGUGUUACAAUGGAAAGAGGGAGGUAGGAAAGUCACAGAGAAGGAAAUGUGACAAUGAAGUGAUGCAACUGCUGGCUGCCAAGAAAUGAGGGAAGUCUCUAGAAGAACCCCUUCCCCAUUAAAAAAAAAAAAAAAAAGGCAUCCAGGAGGAAUAUAUCUCUGCUGACACCUUGAUUUUAUCCUUAAAAAACUCAUUUUGGACUUCUGACCUCCAGAACUGUAAGAUAAUAAAUUGUUUUGUUUUAAA